RNAcentral lists this ribosomal RNA (422 nucleotides) under uncultured bacterium. Its description in RNAcentral is "bacterial SSU rRNA". It matches the Rfam family "Bacterial small subunit ribosomal RNA", at positions 355 to 774 of the family's 1533-position model. The record is from RNAcentral.
UGAGGAAUAUUGGGCAAUGCCCGCAAGGGUGACCCAGCAACGCUGCGUGGAGGAUGAAUGUCGUAAGAUUGUAAACUCCUGUUAGAGGGGAAGAAUAGUACCGGUUGGACCGGUAUAUGACUGUACCCUCAGAGAAAGCCCCGGCUAACUACGUGCCAGCAGCCGCGGUAAUACGUAGGGGGCAAGCGUUGUCCGGAUUUACUGGGUGUAAAGGGCGCGCAGGCGGGAUAAAAAGUCAAUGGUGAAAUCCUACAGCUUAACUGUAGAACUGCCUUUGAUACUUUUAUUCUUGAGUUCGGGAGAGAGAGACGGAAUUCCAGGUGUAGUGGUGAAAUACGUAGAUAUCUGGAAGAACACCAGUUGCGAAGGCGGUCUCUUGAUCCGACACUGACGCUGAGGCGCGAAAGCGUGGGGAGCAAACA